AGUGAAAGUAGCAGUUCCUCCUUAAGGUCAGAGAUUGCAGCAUCUGAGGGCCUCUUUAAUAGAAGACGUAGUUGAUGAAGGCGUUCUGGAGCAGGACCAGAAAGACCACGACCAAGCAGCCUUGAGAUCUUAGACAGCGUCUCCCUCAGACCAAAGAACUACAGACUCUUCACAACCUGCUCAAUCUCUUGGUACAGGACCUCACCACACGGGUCAAGAAGGUUUCCUUCUCCUCAUUUCUACACUGAAGCUCACCUUCUCCUGCUCAAACUGCUGACAAAUGUUUCUGCUGCUCUAAAGUCUGGUCUCCAGAACUUCCUA
Amphiprion ocellaris (clown anemonefish) is the source of this 321-nucleotide long non-coding RNA. Lineage: Eukaryota; Metazoa; Chordata; Actinopteri; Pomacentridae. The record is from Ensembl.